GCGGUACCGGUUCACGCCCCGCCGGAUCCUCCGGCGCGGCGACCCGGCGACC
RNAcentral lists this non-coding RNA (52 nucleotides) under unclassified sequences. Its description in RNAcentral is "L31-Actinobacteria ribosomal protein leader". It matches the Rfam family "L31-Actinobacteria ribosomal protein leader". The record is from RNAcentral.